GUCCGCCAGAGAAUUACAAGCAACCCGCUUUAAACCCAAAGGAUUUGACGGUAUCCCAUACCAACCUAGAGGAGCCUGUCCUAUAAUCGAUACUCCACGCUUUACCUCACCCACUCUUGCAUUAGCCUAUAUACCGCCGUCUCCAUGCUCGCCUGAUGACAGAUUUAGCCAGCUAAAUAGCCAACACAAAAACGUCAGGUCAAGGUGUAGCUUAUGAGGGGGCCAGAGAUGGGCUACAUUUCCUACAACAGGAAAUUACCUAACACAAUAUGAAAAUCAGCCUAAGGGCGGAUUUAGUAGUAAGCUUGGACAAGAUACGCCAACCUGAA
Molecule: ribosomal RNA, 329 nt
Filed under: Pachydactylus vansoni
Lineage: Eukaryota; Metazoa; Chordata; Lepidosauria; Squamata; Gekkonidae
Description: partial 12S ribosomal RNA
Rfam family: Bacterial small subunit ribosomal RNA
Source: RNAcentral